GCCUUCGUGGUGUAGUGGUCAGCACGCUCGGCGUGUGUAUUCGAGAGGUCUGUGGUUCGAGUCCCGCCGAGGACA
Stegodyphus mimosarum is the source of this 75-nucleotide non-coding RNA. NCBI's taxonomy places the organism in Eukaryota, Metazoa, Arthropoda, Arachnida, Araneae, Eresidae. The record is from Rfam.